UACGGGGGGUGCAAGCGUUAUUCGGAAUUACUGGGCGUAAAGGGCGCGCAGGCGGCCUUAUAAGUCGGAUGUGAAAGCCCGGGGCUUAACCCCGGAAGUGCAUUCGAUACUGUAAGGCUUGAGUAUGGGAGAGGGAAGUGGAAUUCCUGGUGUAGCGGUGAAAUGCGUAGAUAUCAGGAGGAACACCGGUGGCGAAGGCGACUUCCUGGACCAAUACUGACGCUGAGGCGCGAAGGCGUGGGGAGCAAACAGG
Molecule: ribosomal RNA, 253 nt
Filed under: uncultured bacterium
Lineage: Bacteria
Description: partial 16S ribosomal RNA
Rfam family: Bacterial small subunit ribosomal RNA
Source: RNAcentral